RNAcentral lists this ribosomal RNA (462 nucleotides) under uncultured bacterium. RNAcentral's name for it is "bacterial SSU rRNA". It matches the Rfam family "Bacterial small subunit ribosomal RNA", at positions 338 to 795 of the family's 1533-position model. The record is from RNAcentral.
CCUACGGGUGGCUGCAGUCGUGAAUUUUCCGCAAUGGGCGAAAGCCUGACGGAGCGACACCGCGUGCAGGAUGAAGGCCUUCGGGUUGUAAACUGCUGUCAGGUUCUAGGAACGAACGGGUGUGAACAACACUCGGAAUGACUAAGACCAAAGGAAGCAGCGGCUAACUCUGUGCCAGCAGCCGCGGUAAUACAGAGGUUGCAAACGUUGUUCGGAAUUACUGGGCAUAAAGCGCACGUAGGUGGUCUGCUAAGUCGGGCGUGAAAUCCCUCGGCUCAACCGAGGAAUUGCGUUCGAUACUGGCAGGCUCGAGGUUCGGAGGGGUAACUGGAACUCCUGGUGGAGCGGUGAAAUGCGUAGAUAUCAGGAGGAACACCGGUGGCGAAAGCGAGUUACUGGCCGAAAUCUGACACUGAGGUGCGAAAGCUAGGGUAGCAAACGGGAUUAGAUACCCUUGUAGUC